GACCUCUUURACACAAAAACGACUCUCGGCAACGGAUAUCUCGGCUCACGCAUCGAUGAAGAACGUAGCAAAAUGCGAUACUUGGUGUGAAUUGCAGAAUCCCGUGAACCAUCGAGUUUUUGAACGCAAGUUGCGCCCAAAGCCAKCCGGUUGAGGGCACGC
Molecule: ribosomal RNA, 162 nt
Filed under: Tragopogon x mirabilis
Lineage: Eukaryota; Viridiplantae; Streptophyta; Magnoliopsida; Asterales; Asteraceae
Description: 5.8S ribosomal RNA
Rfam family: 5.8S ribosomal RNA (bases 21-162)
About the family: 5.8S ribosomal RNA (5.8S rRNA) is a component of the large subunit of the eukaryotic ribosome. It is transcribed by RNA polymerase I as part of the 45S precursor that also contains 18S and 28S rRNA. Functionally, it is thought that 5.8S rRNA may be involved in ribosome translocation.
Source: RNAcentral